This 459-nucleotide ribosomal RNA is filed under the name uncultured bacterium. Its description in RNAcentral is "partial 16S ribosomal RNA". It matches the Rfam family "Bacterial small subunit ribosomal RNA", at positions 338 to 795 of the family's 1533-position model. The record is from RNAcentral.
CCUACGGGUGGCUGCAGUGAGGAAUAUUGGUCAAUGGGCGCGAGCCUGAACCAGCCAAGUAGCGUGAAGGAUGACUGCCCUAUGGGUUGUAAACUUCUUUUAUAAAGGAAUAAAACGAGGCACGUGUGCCUUUUUGCAUGUACUUUAUGAAUAAGGAUCGGCUAACUCCGUGCCAGCAGCCGCGGUAAUACGGAGGAUCCGAGCGUUAUCCGGAUUUAUUGGGUUUAAAGGGAGCGUAGAUGGGUUGUUAAGUCAGUUGUGAAAGUUUGCGGCUCAACCCCGCUCCGCCGUUGAAACUGUGGCCCUUGAGUGCGCGAUGGGUAGGCGGAAUGCGUGGUGUAGCGGUGAAAUGCAUAGAUAUCACGCAGAACUCCGAUCGCGAAGGCAGCCUACCGGCGCGCAACUGACGCUCAUGCACGAAAGCGUGGGUAUCGAACAGGAUUAGAUACCCUGGUAGUC